RNAcentral lists this long non-coding RNA (221 nucleotides) under Homo sapiens (human). Its description in RNAcentral is "HSALNT0133348". Lineage: Eukaryota; Metazoa; Chordata; Mammalia; Primates; Hominidae. The record is from RNAcentral.
CAGCCUAUUUUUGCUCUCCAAAAAGGAAAUCCCUUCAAAAAGAAGGAAGUACUUCAACAGUUACUCUUGAAUGUCACUAAAAUGUCUUUAAAGUUUAUUUCAACACUCCUCAGCCUCAAAAAAAAAAAGACUUUUAAAACAGCUUGGAAAAAAUAUAUAGUUUGGAAAAAGUUGUAUGAUACUGAAAUGAAGAACGGUAGCUAUGAAAUAUUUACAAACUU